This 222-nucleotide ribosomal RNA is filed under the name uncultured bacterium. RNAcentral describes it as "partial 16S ribosomal RNA". It matches the Rfam family "Bacterial small subunit ribosomal RNA", at positions 328 to 539 of the family's 1533-position model. The record is from RNAcentral.
ACGCUCGACACCUACGGGAGGAGCAGUAGGGAAUCUUCCACAAUGGGCGCAAGCCUGAUGGAGCAACACCGCGUGAGUGAAGAAGGGUUUCGGCUCGUAAAGCUCUGUUGUUGGAGAAGAACGUGCGUGAGAGUAACUGUUCACGCAGUGACGGUAUCCAACCAGAAAGUCACGGCUAACUACGUGCCAACAGCCGCGGUAAUCUGAGCGGGCUGGCAAGGC